AGUGCUCCCUCUUCAGCUCCCUCGCGCACCGCACUGAUACCGGAGCCGGAAGAUGACGUCAGUGCGGUGUGCGCGAGGGAGCUGAAGAGGGAGCACA
Pelobates cultripes (western spadefoot toad) is the source of this 97-nucleotide non-coding RNA. The record is from the annotation of a GenBank genome assembly. NCBI's taxonomy places the organism in Eukaryota, Metazoa, Chordata, Amphibia, Anura, Pelobatidae.